CUGGUGGCGAAUUUUGUGUGGAUGGCCAGCAAGUGAAGGGUUUGGCUGUGAAUUUUUGUCUUGGUACUGGUCGUAGGACAAGCUUUGGUGGGCGGUUUGACAUACGCAAUCAUUGACCCAUAACAGACUAGACAAACUUCUCGACCUAACAAAACGUGCCGCCCGGCAACGCUGUCCAGGGGAAGGCGUUUUUCUGCGGCGCUUACCAACCACUGGAACUGCUAUACGCAGACGUUUCGCGGUGGCGCAUGGGGCGAAGAUGGCGAGAAGCUGCUCUGCAAUCGGGUGUAGUAAGAGGCAGGGUGAUCGGUGAAGACAUGGAGAUAGCUUGUCAUUCCACAAACGUAUCACAGUGGAUGCUGCCUGGUCUCGAGGUCCCGGUGUCGCACAGCCCGUAUCAGGCCCAUCAACUGGCUAGGACAACGAGAUUAUGCAAACUGUUUUGAACUAUAAAUGUUGUAGGCAUUGCGAGGAGCGAAAUACUGUAAUGUUUAUGAUGUAAAUGUCGGUCUAUUUUUUCAAAUAUAUAGCUUUGCCUCCGCC
This is a long non-coding RNA of Pollicipes pollicipes, 543 nucleotides long. RefSeq lists it as uncharacterized. The transcript is spliced from 2 exons. The record is from RefSeq and is a predicted model, not a curated record. NCBI's taxonomy places the organism in Eukaryota, Metazoa, Arthropoda, Thecostraca, Pollicipedomorpha, Pollicipedidae.